AUUGAACGCUGGCGGCAGGCCUAACACAUGCAAGUCGAACGGUAACAGGAAACAGCUUGCUGUUUCGCUGACGAGUGGCGGACGGGUGAGUAAUGUCUGGGAAACUGCCUGAUGGAGGGGGAUAACUACUGGAAACGGUAGCUAAUACCGCAUAACGUCGCAAGACCAAAGAGGGGGAUCUUCGGGCCUCUUGCCAUCGGAUGUGCCCAGAUGGGAUUAGCUAGUAGGUGGGGUAACGGCUCACCUAGGCGACGAUCCCUAGCUGGUCUGAGAGGAUGACCAGCCACACUGGAACUGAGACACGGUCCAGACUCCUACGGGAGGCAGCAGUGGGGAAUAUUGCACAAUGGGCGCAAGCCUGAUGCAGCCAUGCCGCGUGUAUGAAGAAGGCCUCGGUUGUAAGUACUUUCAGCGGGGAGGAAGGGAGUAAAGUAAUACUUGCUCAUUGACGUUACCGCAGAAGAAG
Molecule: ribosomal RNA, 466 nt
Filed under: uncultured bacterium
Lineage: Bacteria
Description: bacterial SSU rRNA
Rfam family: Bacterial small subunit ribosomal RNA
Source: RNAcentral